UAGAAAGCUGACUGGGAAGAGAGCCCAGGAGACAGGGUGGUUACAGGAAAUAAUAGGCAGUGAGCGAAAAGGAGAGGAGCCUAAGGAACAGAGGGAAGAGACCCAUCUCUGUGGAGAAAGAGGUGGCACGAAACCAGGGGGAAUUUCGCCUAAGGACAGGAAGAGUCAUGCACUGCAGAGGCAUCCGUGUCGGGGGAAGCUGAACGGGAGAGCGGCUUCUCCUUUUGUUAACGUGUCGGAAAGGUUUUCCAUCAGGAUUUCCACUUGCUCACAGUGAUGAGCCAACAAACAGAGAUGCCAUUUCUGCAAAACGAAAAGAUGGAACUUCACCUUGCUGCAGCAUCAGGCUCCAUCCUCCCCAACUUCUUCAAUAUCAGUAGGUUUUCUUUGUUGUCUUUAAAACAAACAAAUAUAUUUUAUAUCCUCACAGGUGGAAUUGGAAUGUUAAACAAGUCCACAUUUAAUGCAGUGGAUCAUUGUGA
This is a non-coding RNA of Podarcis muralis (Common wall lizard), 482 nucleotides long. The record is from RefSeq and is a predicted model, not a curated record. NCBI's taxonomy places the organism in Eukaryota, Metazoa, Chordata, Lepidosauria, Squamata, Lacertidae.